This 365-nucleotide unclassified non-coding RNA is filed under the name soil metagenome. Its description in RNAcentral is "partial contains 5.8S ribosomal RNA, internal transcribed spacer 2, and large subunit ribosomal RNA". The stretch from base 1 to 120 matches the Rfam family "5.8S ribosomal RNA", at positions 35 to 154 of the family's 154-position model. The record is from RNAcentral.
GAUGAAGAACGCAGCGAAACGCGAUAGUUAAUGUGAAUUGCAGAAUUCAGUGAAUCAUCGAGUCUUUGAACGCACAUUGCGCCUAUUGGUAUUCCAUUGGGCAUGUCUGUUUGAGCGUCAUUACAACAUCUCAGCGUUAAGCUGGUUAUGGGCUUCUAUUUUAUUAUUAGAAAAAAAUAGGCCUAAAAGUUAGUAUGCUCUGCAGGCUGCUUUGCCAAACAAAAAACAUAGUACAAUUUAUUCUUUGUUUAUAGCGAGGCUUUGCAUGCUCUGCCUGAAGAAAUAAAAAUCUUUUGUUCAAAAAGGUUUGACCUCAGAUCAGACAAGGAUACCCGCUGAACUUAAGCAUAUCAAUAAGCGGAGGA